This 460-nucleotide ribosomal RNA is filed under the name uncultured bacterium. Its description in RNAcentral is "partial 16S ribosomal RNA". It matches the Rfam family "Bacterial small subunit ribosomal RNA", at positions 338 to 795 of the family's 1533-position model. The record is from RNAcentral.
CCUACGGGGGGCAGCAGUGAGGAAUAUUGGUCAAUGGACGAGAGUCUGAACCAGCCAAGUAGCGUGAAGGAUGACUGCCCUAUGGGUUGUAAACUGCUUUUAUAUGGGAAUAAAAUGUUCCACGUGUGGGUUUUUGUAUGUACCGUAUGAAUAAGGAUCGGCUAACUCCGUGCCAGCAGCCGCGGUAAUACGGAGGGUCCGAGCGUUAUCCGGAUUUAUUGGGUUUAAAGGGAGCGUAGGCGGAUGGUUAAGUCAGUUGUGAAAGUCUGCGGCUCAACCGGGAAAUUGCAGUUGAAACUGGGAGGCUUGAGUACAGUAGAGGUGGGCGGAAUUCGUGGUGUAGCGGUGAAAUGCUUAGAUAUCACGAAGAACUCCGAUUGCGAAGGCAGCUCACUGGACUGUAACUGACGCUGAUGCUCGAAAGUGUGGGUAUCAAACAGGAUUAGAUACCCUGGUAGUC